Molecule: ribosomal RNA, 490 nt
Filed under: uncultured bacterium
Lineage: Bacteria
Description: partial 16S ribosomal RNA
Rfam family: Bacterial small subunit ribosomal RNA
Source: RNAcentral
AGUGAACGCUGGCGGUAGGCCUAACACAUGCAAGUCGAACGGCAGCACAGGAGAGCUUGCUCUCUGGGUGGCGAGUGGCGGACGGGUGAGGAAUACAUCGGAAUCUGCCCAGUCGUGGGGGAUAACGUAGGGAAACUUACGCUAAUACCGCAUACGACCUUCGGGUGAAAGAGGGGGAUCGCAAGACCUCUCUCGAUUGGAUGAGCCGAUGUCGGAUUAGCUAGUUGGCGGGGUAAUGGCCCACCAAGGCGACGAUCCGUAGCUGGUCUGAGAGGAUGAUCAGCCACACUGGAACUGAGACACGGUCCAGACUCCUACGGGAGGCAGCAGUGGGGAAUAUUGGACAAUGGGCGCAAGCCUGAUCCAGCCAUACCGCGUGGGUGAAGAAGGCCUUCGGGUUGUAAAGCCCUUUUGUUGGGAAAGAAAUCUUUCAGGCUAAUACCCUGGGAGGAUGACGGUACCCAAAGAAUAAGCACCGGCUAACUUCGUG